Molecule: ribosomal RNA, 406 nt
Filed under: uncultured bacterium
Lineage: Bacteria
Description: partial 16S ribosomal RNA
Rfam family: Bacterial small subunit ribosomal RNA
Source: RNAcentral
AUUGAACGCUGGCGGCAGGCCUAACACAUGCAAGUCGAACGAGUGGCGGACGGGUGAGUAAUGUCUGGGAAACUGCCUGAUGGAGGGGGAUAACUACUGGAAACGGUAGCUAAUACCGCAUACCAUCGGAUGUGCCCAGAUGGGAUUAGCUAGUAGGUGGGGUAAAGGCUCACCUAGGCGACGAUCCCUAGCUGGUCUGAGAGGAGGACCAGCCACACUGUAACUGGUACACGGUCCAUACGCCUACGGUAGGCAGCAGUGGGGAAUCAUGCACAAUGGGCUCAAGCCUGAUGCAGCCAGGCCGCGUGUAUUAAGAAGGCCUUCGGGUUGUAAAGUACGUUCAGCGAGGAGGCGUUACCCGGAGAAGAAGCACCGGCUAACUCCGUGCCAGCAGCCGCGGUAAUAC